Molecule: ribosomal RNA, 492 nt
Filed under: uncultured bacterium
Lineage: Bacteria
Description: partial 16S ribosomal RNA
Rfam family: Bacterial small subunit ribosomal RNA
Source: RNAcentral
AGUGAACGCUGGCGGUAGGCCUAACACAUGCAAGUCGAACGGCAGCACAGUAAGAGCUUGCUCUUACGGGUGGCGAGUGGCGGACGGGUGAGGAAUACAUCGGAAUCUACUUUUUCGUGGCGGAUAACGUAGGGAAACUUACGCUAAUACCGCAUACGACCUACGGGUGAAAGCAGUGGAUCUUCGGACCUUGCGCGAUUGAAUGAGCCGAUGUCGGAUUAGCUAGUUGGCGGGGUAAAGGCCCACCAAGGCGACGAUCCGUAGCUGGUCUGAGAGGAUGAUCAGCCACACUGGAACUGAGACACGGUCCAGACUCCUACGGGAGGCAGCAGUGGGGAAUAUUGGACAAUGGGCGCAAGCCUGAUCCAGCCAUACCGCGUGGGUGAAGAAGGCCUUCGGGUUGUAAAGCCCUUUUGUUGGGAAAGAAAAGCAGCAGGUUAAUACCCCGCUGUUCUGACGGUACCCAAAGAAUAAGCACCGGCUAACUUCGUG